UCAGUAACAAGAAUUUGUCCCUUUGUGUCUUAAGUAUCUAAGGAGAAUUUUUGUUGCUUAGU
Molecule: microRNA precursor, 62 nt
Filed under: Scyliorhinus torazame (cloudy catshark)
Lineage: Eukaryota; Metazoa; Chordata; Chondrichthyes; Carcharhiniformes; Scyliorhinidae
Description: Sto-Mir-459_pre stem-loop
Source: RNAcentral